CCUACGGGUGGCAGCAGUGGGGAAUAUUGCACAAUGGGGGAAACCCUGAUGCAGCGACGCCGCGUGAGUGAAGAAGUAUCUCGGUAUGUAAAGCUCUAUCAGCAGGGGAGAAAAUGACGGUACCUGACUAAGAAGCCCCGGCUAACUACGUUCCAGCAGCCGCGGUAAUACGUAGGGGGCAAGCGUUAUCCGGAUUUACUGGGUGUAAAGGGAGCGUAGACGGCGCUGCAAGUCCGGAGUGAAAGCCCAUGGCUUAACCAUGGUACUGCUCUGGGAACUGGGGAGCUUGAGUGCGGGAGGGGCAGGCGGAAUUCGUGGUGUAGCGGUGAAAUGCGUAGAUAUUAGGAGGAACACCGGCGGCGAAGGCGGCCUGCUGGACCGUUACUGACGUUGAGGCUCGAAGGUGCGGGGAGCAAACAGGAUUAGAUACCAUGGUAGUC
RNAcentral lists this ribosomal RNA (440 nucleotides) under uncultured bacterium. RNAcentral describes it as "partial 16S ribosomal RNA". It matches the Rfam family "Bacterial small subunit ribosomal RNA", at positions 338 to 795 of the family's 1533-position model. The record is from RNAcentral.